GAUUUCCUCCCGGCCCCCGCCCUCCCGCCGCCCUUUGCAGGACAUGCAACAGGGGUGUGGCUCGUGUGUUCGGUCUCGGCCCUGCUGAAACCCCUUAUGGGAGGUGGAGCAUGCGGACGGACGGGUGCAGGAGCCAGGGUGCAAAAGCUGGGGCGCUGGGCUUCCAGCCCCACGGCAGUGUCCAGGGGCAGGAUCCCGUGAUUCCCGGAGCCCAAAUGGGCGUGUGUUACAGUGUGUUCUUUUAGCCUUACCAUCAGCUGACGGCUUAAGUGUUAACCAGCUCAAUAGACCCUCUGCCUUUUUGCAAGCGCAGAGGGUCAGUGUGACAGUUUCUGUAUCUCAGCUCUUGUCUCACCUCCCAGAAGAAUCAGGUCACACAUGGACUUGAAGGAUGAAAACCAGAGACUGGGUAAUUAAUAAAAAGAAGAAAUUGAUCUGGCCUACAGUUCUGGAGCCUUGGAAGUCCGAGAUCAAGGGGCUGCAUCUGAUAAAUACCUGGAGUGGGAUUGCUAGAUCACAUGGAAAACACAGAUCCUGGUGCCGAACAUGAGGACAGGACAGGCUGAAGGAGAAAGUG
RNAcentral lists this non-coding RNA (577 nucleotides) under Pan troglodytes (chimpanzee). The record is from RNAcentral. Lineage: Eukaryota; Metazoa; Chordata; Mammalia; Primates; Hominidae.